RNAcentral lists this ribosomal RNA (453 nucleotides) under uncultured bacterium. RNAcentral describes it as "bacterial SSU rRNA". It matches the Rfam family "Bacterial small subunit ribosomal RNA", at positions 340 to 786 of the family's 1533-position model. The record is from RNAcentral.
UACGGGAGGCAGCAGGGGGAAUAUUGCACAAUGGGCGCAAGCCUGAUGCAGCCAUGCCGCGUGUAUGAAGAAGGCCUUCGGGUUGUAAAGUACUUUCAGUCGUGAGGAAGGUGUUAAGGUUAAUAACCUUAGCAAUUGACGUUAGCGACAGAAGAAGCACCGGCUAACUCCGUGCCAGCAGCCGCGGUAAUACGGAGGGUGCGAGCGUUAAUCGGAAUUACUGGGCGUAAAGGGCACGCAGGCGGUUAAUUAAGUUGGAUGUGAAAUCCCCGGGCUUAACCUGGGAAUGGCAUUCAAGACUGGUUAGCUAGAGUCUUGUAGAGGGGGUAGAAUUCCAUGUGUAGCGGUGAAAUGCGUAGAGAUGUGGAGGAAUACCGGUGGCGAAGGCGGGCCCCUGGACAAAGACUGACGCUCAUGUGCGAAAGCGUGGGGAGCAAACAGGGAUUAGAUACC